UACGAAGGGGGCUAGCGUUGCUCGGAAUUACUGGGCGUAAAGCGCACGUAGGCGGCUUUCUAAGUCGGAGGUGAAAUCCUGGAGCUCAACUCCAGAACUGCCUUCGAUACUGAAGAGCUCGAGUCCGGGAGAGGUGAGUGGAACUGCGAGUGUAGAGGUGAAAUUCGUAGAUAUUCGCAAGAACACCAGUGGCGAAGGCGGCUCACUGGCCCGGUACUGACGCUGAGGUGCGAAAGCGUGGGGAGCAAACAGG
This 253-nucleotide ribosomal RNA is filed under the name uncultured bacterium. RNAcentral's name for it is "partial 16S ribosomal RNA". It matches the Rfam family "Bacterial small subunit ribosomal RNA", at positions 524 to 776 of the family's 1533-position model. The record is from RNAcentral.